RNAcentral lists this ribosomal RNA (246 nucleotides) under uncultured bacterium. RNAcentral describes it as "partial small subunit ribosomal RNA". It matches the Rfam family "Bacterial small subunit ribosomal RNA", at positions 26 to 285 of the family's 1533-position model. The record is from RNAcentral.
AGAAUCAACGCUGGCGGCGUGCCUAACACAUGCAAGUCGCACGAGAAAGGGGGAGCAAUCCCUGAGUACAGUGGCGCACGGGUGAGUAACACGUGAAUAAUCUACCUCCGAGUGGGGAAUAACUGAGAGAAAUCUUAGCUAAUACCGCAUAACACUUACGAGUCAAAGCAGCAAUGCGCUUGGAGAGGAGUUCGCGGCAGAUUAGUUAGUUGGCGGGGUAAUGGCCCACCAAGACGAUGAUCUGUA